CGGCUUAUGGCUUAGAUGGUAAAGAAUCUGCCUGUAAUGCAGGAGACCUGGGUUCAAUCCCUGGGUUGG
RNAcentral lists this transfer RNA (69 nucleotides) under Bos taurus (domestic cattle). It matches the Rfam family "tRNA". Rfam says of the family: Transfer RNA (tRNA) molecules are approximately 80 nucleotides in length. Their secondary structure includes four short double-helical elements and three loops (D, anti-codon, and T loops). Further hydrogen bonds mediate the characteristic L-shaped molecular structure. tRNAs have two regions of fundamental functional importance: the anti-codon, which is responsible for specific mRNA codon recognition, and the 3' end, to which the tRNAs corresponding amino acid is attached (by aminoacyl-tRNA synthetases). tRNAs cope with the degeneracy of the genetic code in two manners: having more than one tRNA (with a specific anti-codon) for a particular amino acid; and 'wobble' base-pairing, i.e. permitting non-standard base-pairing at the 3rd anti-codon position. Lineage: Eukaryota; Metazoa; Chordata; Mammalia; Artiodactyla; Bovidae. RNAcentral also lists the same sequence under 2 other names. The record is from Rfam by way of RNAcentral.